RNAcentral lists this long non-coding RNA (288 nucleotides) under Helianthus annuus (common sunflower). RNAcentral's name for it is "hypothetical non coding rna". Lineage: Eukaryota; Viridiplantae; Streptophyta; Magnoliopsida; Asterales; Asteraceae. The record is from RNAcentral.
UUUUGUAUCGUAACACAUUGUUACAAGGGCUUCAAACCAGGACUAACAUGUCUUUGUUACUAAGGUCUUACCCAGUAUGUUGGGAGGGUUGAGAAGGUCGAUAGGCGGUGAAAGAAGAGUGGGUGCUGGUGGUGAUCGGACAAUCCACGAUUGAGAAUUUGAUUCAGUAUGACGCAAUUAGUCCGUUCAUUGCAGUGGCUGGCUUACAUCCUAUUAAUUAUGCGUGUCUAUCUUAUCACGAGUAAAAAGAUUGAGCCAAUCCCAAGCAGAAAUCUGCCUCCUAGGUUU